UAGAAAAUUUUGUGUACGUAAGAAAGAGGUCGUGGAAACGAACUGAAACGAAUGUUAUACAAAUGUUGGUAUUAUCUGUGUUGGUCACAUUGUGUAAAACAAUUGAAUCGAUUUCCGAAUUUUGCCUACCUUCACGUAUGGAACGUGAUGCGGGAGAUGAGAUUUUGUAUCCGGUCAUUGUUAUCAUAAAUGCUGGUGUAAGGGAACACAAGAGGAUAGACAUAAAUGGCAAUACUGUGCCAUUAAAUUAAUCUGAGGAUAAUGGCAACUCCAUAUGUGGUUCAGAAAGUGGCCUUAAAUAGUUCUAACCCUGGAUAUCUGUACUCAGAAUCACAGGAUGAGUUCAGCUGUGCUGGGGCUACACACAACAAUCCAAAUUAUUAUCAGUGUCAAUUUGAAUAUGCCAAUUGGUGCCCAGUUUGCGAAGUUUAUAGAGGUCCUCGAUGUGGACGAAGGCGUAGCAAAAGCGAGGGUCUGGAAGCUGAUCCUCUUCGGGAGCGUAAUAGACUGUGUGAUUCAAAGUAUGAUACUGAGCAUCUGAGAAAGAAAGUGGUUCAGGAGUAUGACUUAUGCAGUUAUCAACAGAAUUCUCGUAUGUUUGUCAGGCAGACAAAUAGCCAUCAGUCUCAUUUACCCAAAGAUACCUUACACCAGACAUCAUUACGUCAACCCAUGGAUGUAGAUGGAAUGAUAGAACAUCACAGAACCAUUGUUCCAGUGAAGAAGUCAAAAGAUCGUUUUCGAUCGAUGGGCCACCCUUGUUACCAACAUAGACGUUUUGGUAACAGUGUCAACGUAACUCAUAACAUACUGCUUCCUAAUGUAAAUGAGAACCCAAAACAUGUCAGUAAUUCGUAUGUUACACACGGUGACGUAUCCCCUGAUAGAGGACAAAAUUUAAAUGGUUUGUUGCCAAGGAAACACACCAAAGUGUCUUGUGAUACUGUUAAAAGAAAUGGUGUAGUUUGUAACCAAGCUUGGACUGAAUUAGAUGAUCAUGGUGAAAAUAAUUUAUCACAAGAAGCAAACAGAGAUAGUACUGAUAAUCACCUGCAGUCAGUGCAUGGCUUUACCGCAAGACAAGUUGAAAAUUAUGAUUGUGAUCAGUCAUGUCCACUAAAUGAUGAUGGGGGGACUGUCCCAUCAAGACAGCAGUACAUGAUGGACACUGUCUCAGUUCAGGACUGCUAUCUUCAUGAGGUGGAGAUCCUUGGUAGCAAAUUACGAGACUUGCGAGGCAGCGUGGAUGGGAAGAGGCUGCGCCAGCGUAGCGAGUCAGAACCUGGAGCAGGUUUUGGUGGUUGUGGUCAAGAUAGUUCAUGGGAGCCCAAACGUGCCCGAGAUGGUUCUCCAUGUCUCACGCAGAACUGUUACGUAGAAGAUACCAAACACUCGACCUAUGGUCAGCGUCAAUUACGGGGCUCGGAGUCUCAUAGCGGUCACUUGCAAGUAAUACAUUUACACAGAUCAUCUGAUCACAGAGGGCAUGACACUAAGAUUUUAUAUCUCCCAGCAUCUUCAAAGACAGCAGUCAGAAAACAUUCUUCAGAUCUACGUGACGAUGAAACAAACCUAUCAUCUGACUCGGACUUCGCUGAUAGUGAACGGACGUGUGGCAGUGGUGAAGAUGGAGACAGCAAAGGAGAACAAGGGGAAGACAGUGAGGAAGCAGAUGAUCAGUCUGUGCUUAGCAGCUUAACGACUGUAUCCACUGAUUCUAAUACACCAUCAGUAGUGGGGGAGUCACUUCGAUCAAUCUCUCUGAAUGAUCAUGCUCAUAAGAAAGUUUCAUCUGUGAUAGAAGGAAAGGGCUUGCCAGAAUGUCUGAGGCCAAGCUUGUUUUCACAUGUUCCUCCAUAUAUUCGCUUUUCCAUGCAUGACGUCAGGGGUGAAGCUCUUCCAGCUGAAAUUCAGCGUCACAUGAAGUGGAAGUUGAGUACCAUUACGCCUCUGGUCAUUCGUCGCACACUUGUGAACUCAGGUUUUAGGCUUAUUAGAAAGUCAAAUGACUGGUGUGGUACGUGGGGAAAACACAUGAAAUCACUGUGUUUUAAAACCUUGAAAGACUUCCAGAAGAUCAAUCACUUUCCAGGGACAUUUCAAAUUGGCCGUAAAGAUCGGCUGUGGAAGAAUUUGUACCGUCUUAUGACAAAGUUUGGAAAGAAAGAAUUUGGCUUUAUCCCUCGUACUUACGUGUUACCUCAGGACAACAAGCUGCUUCGCCAGGCAUGGGAGAAGAGUUGUGGCAAUGAGAAGUGGAUAGUCAAACCACCUGCGUCUGCAAGAGGCACUGGCAUUAAGGUUGUUCAUCGUUGGGCCCAAAUCCCCAAGAAGCGACCGUUAGUGGUUCAGAAGUACAUAUCGCAGCCUUUUCUCAUCAAUGGCAGCAAGUUUGACCUACGCCUCUAUGUGCUGCUUACUAGUAUCAAUCCUCUUCGCAUCUAUAUUUAUGAUGAUGGAUUGGUUCGGUUUGCUUCAGUUAAAUACUCCAGUGACAUGGCAUGCCUGGGUGAUCGCUACAUGCACCUGACCAACUACAGCAUUAACAAGAUGAGUAGCCAGUACACACAGAAUGAAGAUGCUACAGCUUGUCAAGGACACAAGUGGACAGUGAAGACUCUGUGGACGUACCUAGAGAAAGAGGGAGUGAAUGUUGUAGCUCUGUGGAACAGUCUCGUUGAUCUAGUUAUCAAGACAAUCAUCAGUGGGGAGUCUUCCAUUAGCCAGCUAUCCCGAGCCAACCUUGUUUCUCGUUACUGCUCUUACGAAUUGUUUGGCAUUGAUGUACUUCUAGAUGAAACGCUGAAGCCUUGGCUUCUUGAGGUAAACAUAUCUCCCUCCUUACAUUCAACUUCGCCAUUAGAUCUGGCCGUGAAAGGUCCGAUGGUAAGAGACCUACUGAACAUGGCUGGCUUCCAAGUACCUAACAAAUUGCUCAUUGCUCAACAAGAAGAAAUUCUAAACACACUUGGUUUGAAGGACAAGGAGAUACCAUUGUGUUUUGACAAACGCUUAUAUACCACAGUCUUGUCUAAGGAAGAGCGAAGCAAACAUUCCUUUUACCAGCAGAAUUGUUCCAGAGAAGAGUAUCUUGAAGAUAUUUUGAAGGAUUUGACUCCAGAUGAUGUGCGGCAUCUCAUUCAGUCAGAAGAUGAAUUAACUCAAGCUGGAAGGUUUGUGAAGAUCUUCCCAACAGCUUCCACAUACGUGUAUCACGAGUUCUUUGAGGCUCCACGGUACUACAAUAUGAUAUUUGAUGCAUGGGAAACCAAGUACAGUGAAAAUCGGCAAGAAGGUAUUGAGCUCCUGGAAUGUUUGUGUGUACGGAAGAUGCACUUGGAGGUGCCUGUUCCAGGUGGUCUAACCAAGUCUUCUGUCAGCCAGUUGAACACUUUCCCAUCAAGUCAAAGCCCUCCACCAGCACAUGAAAAGAACAGUGAAGAACAACAGCCUCUUGUUGAAAGAAGGAUUCAGAGUUUGUCAUCAGUAGCUCUGUAUCGGGCCGUUCGUCCUCGCAGCGGGAAGUUUGGCGUUGUUCUUAAACCUUUCCCACGUUCUGCGUACCUGACAAGGAAAACAAAACUUUCCGGUACACCAGCAAAAACAUCAAGCAGUGCCCCAACAAACAGUGUUCGUGAAGUUGAGUCGUCUUCACAACUUGCACUUGAAGACCGUCAUGUAAAAGAAGUAGCCUCAUAUUGAGAGUAUCUUAAGAAGUAAGUGGUGUGAAAACUGAUGCCAUCCACACAGUUGAUAGUAUAAAUUUGAUUUAAAAAUGGAAUGUAUUUGGCGUAGUGUAUGACAGAAUGGAUCUGUAGCAUUCCAACACUAUUUUUUUAAUAGUAUGUUUUUAGGUGCCGUAAUAAAUUUUUCUCGGCAUAUGUAAAACUUUAAGGGACAGAUUUACAUUAUUUGUGGUCCAAAUGAGAUUGCAUAAGCAUCUCUUGCUGAUUAUUAUAGUGAAUACUGUUCUGUGGGGGGAAUGUGUCCCAUAUUUAUUGUCUGUUCUAAUAAAAAAAAUGUAAAAUUUUUGUGUACAAUGUAAAUAUAUCUUAUGCCUUCCAGUAAUUAUGAUGUACUGUAAUUAAAAAUGUCAUUUUAUAAGGUGGCCUGAUUCCUUACAAUGUAUUAAUUUUUUUAAUUAUGUGAACCUACAUAGGCGUGUUGAUUUGCAUUUGCUUGAGUUUUUGAUUUUUUUUGUUCUUUGUGUUGUGUACUUUGCUGAAGGUAACUGUGGAAUAAGCUGGAUUAACUUGGGAGCUUCAUAUAUAUUGCAGUGCAAUUAUAAUUAAUUGAGGUUAAAUUCUUGUGUACUAUUUGCUCGAAAUAGAAAAUGAGUAUUAGGUGAAUGUUUUUGCAUUUGUUCAGUAAUACCAACAUUUAAAUACUUGAACUCAAUAAAUUACAUGCUACACUUGGUCAUAGUUUCACAUGUGCAGUGAAUGAGUCUAACUUCAUAAUUCUGGGGUAUUUUAAUGCUUUGUAGGUUGCAAAUUGAAUGUUCUAUAUAUUCAUGGACAUUUUUACUUCAGGAACUAACUUAUGUGAAGGAAAUUUGAUCAUUGUUCACAGCCAGGUUUGUUUGAGUGUUAAAGUGGGGAGUUUUUAGCUCAUUUGUUAAGACCAAAAUUGAUUAAAUGUAUGCAUUCAGUGUUCUAACACAUUCUUGCGUAAUAUUUUUCAAAUAUGCUGAUUUUUAGUGUUUUAUGUAAGUGCAACCAAAUAACAUCUCUUAUUUUCUGAAUUCAUUUUGUUACAGUUGUCAUCAUGGUUGCAUAAAUGUGCUGAACAAAUGGCAGUGGUUAAUUUAAAAUAAAAGUUGAUUUUGUUACCCAUGUGGUACAUGUCCCUUUCAUUCAGAUUGAUGUUGACAAUAAAGGUAAUGUUACAU
Non-coding RNA from Zootermopsis nevadensis, 4891 nucleotides. The record is from RefSeq and is a predicted model, not a curated record. Lineage: Eukaryota; Metazoa; Arthropoda; Insecta; Blattodea; Termopsidae.